UCGCCUAGUAAGACUGGGAUAACUCCCGGGAAACCGGGGCUAAUACCGGAUGGUUGUUUGAACCGCAUGGUUCAGACAUAAAAGGUGGCUUCGGCUACCACUUACAGAUGGACCCGCGGCGCAUUAGCUAGUUGGUGAGGUAACGGCUCACCAAGGCNACGAUGCGUAGCCGACCUGAGAGGGUGAUCGGCCACACUGGGACUGAGACACGGCCCAGACUCCUACGGGAGGCAGCAGUAGGGAAUCUUCCGCAAUGGACGAAAGUCUGACGGAGCAACGCCGCGUGAGUGAUGAAGGUUUUCGGAUCGUAAAGCUCUGUUGUUAGGGAAGAACAAGUGCCGUUCAAAUAGGGCGGCACCUUGACGGUACCUAACCAGAAAGCCACGGCUAACUACGUGCCAGCAGCCGCGGUAAUACGUAGGUGGCAAGCGUUGUCCGGAAUUAUUGGGCGUAAAGGGCUCGCAGGCUGGUUUCUUAAGUCUGAUGUGAAAGCCCCCCGGCUCAACCGGGGAGGGGUCAUUGGAAACUGGGGAACUUGAGUGCAGAAGAGGAGAGUGCAAUUCCACGUGUAGCGGUGAAAUGCGUAGAGAUGUGGAGGAACACCAGUGGCGAAGGCGACUCUCUGGUCUGUAACUGACNCUGAGGAGCGAAAGCGUGGGGAGNGAACACGAUUAGAUACCCUGGUAGUCCACGCUGUNAACGAUGAGUGCUAAGUGUUAGGGGGUUCCUCCGCCCCUUAGUGCUGCAGCUAACGCAUUAAGCACUCCNCCUGGGGAGUACGGUCGCAAGANUNAAACUCAAAGGAAUUGACGGGGNCCCGCACNAGCGGUGGAGCAUGUGGUUUAAUUAGAAGCAACGCGAAGAACCUUACCAGGUCUUGACAUCCUNUGACAAUCCUAGAGAUAGGACGUCCCCUUCGGGGGCAGAGUGACAGGUGGUGCAUGGUUGUNGUCAGCUCGUGUCGUGAGAUGUUGGGUUAAGUCCCGCAACGAGCGCAACCCUUGAUNUUAGUUGCCAGCAUUCAGUUGGGCACUCUAAGGUGACUGCCGGUGACAAACCGGAGGAAGGUGGGGAUGACGUCAAAUCAUCAUGCCCCUUAUGACCUGGGCUACACACGUGCUACAAUGGNCAGAACAAAGGGCAGCGAAACCGCGAGGUUAAGCCAAUCCCACAAAUCUGUUCUCAGUUCGGAUCGCAGUCUGCAACUCGACUGCGUGAAGCUGGAAUCGCCUNGUNAAUCUGCGGC
Molecule: ribosomal RNA, 1246 nt
Filed under: Bacillus subtilis
Lineage: Bacteria; Bacillati; Bacillota; Bacilli; Caryophanales; Bacillaceae
Description: bacterial SSU rRNA
Rfam family: Bacterial small subunit ribosomal RNA
Source: RNAcentral